Acanthaster planci (crown-of-thorns starfish) is the source of this 1633-nucleotide long non-coding RNA. NCBI's taxonomy places the organism in Eukaryota, Metazoa, Echinodermata, Asteroidea, Valvatida, Acanthasteridae. The record is from RefSeq and is a predicted model, not a curated record.
GCCUUCCGGCGGGAAGGGGUUAACUACUGAUAAAGACAAAGUGGACUUUUGUUUUUUUUAUCAGUAGAUGAAGCGCAACAGAGUGAUUGCCUUUCACCCAAUUUGAUGGCUUUCCUUUCUUGUACAGAUCCGCCAGGCCCCAUUGACAAUCGGCCAAUAGCAAUCAUGAAAGGGGGGCAACCUCUCCUCAAACAUGGAGCUGAUUGUGGGCAGAUCUCCAAGGAGAUGUGGUACUACCUCCACUCCAUUUAUGACGGGGGUCCCGAGGUGUUUCUCCACCCAAACCGCCCCUCCCACAUGGACCACACCCAAUCAGCUGCUUCCGACGAGGAAUGUUCGAGCCCACGGGAGGACACCCAAUCUCGACUGUGAAAAAAACACAUGCAGCAAACACAUUACGAAGACCUUUUAUGCAACUCACGAAUUGUGGGGCCAAAAGCUGCUACGCCGGCUUGCAUUCCAGUCCCGAUGGAAGCAAGCAUUCUGUUAAUGCACAACGCAGAACCAUGAAUGGAGUUCAGCUGCUCCGCCCACUGGGGACCAUCUUCACUCAGUCACCUUGCACGAGAAGACUUCAAAUCUGUGUCGGGAUGAACAGUCCCGACAGGUCAAAUCUACAACCCCCGCCGUACAUCCUAGCUGCCCUGCCCACUUUGUUUACACCCAUCAAUCACCUCGGAUUGACAAGAACUUAAUCUCUUGCCCUCUAAACAUCAGUUGUACAAAUCGACACAUUUUCACAGGGGUCAGGCAGUUGUACAAAUGUGAGACAACGUCCCCAUGACUACUUCAAACAGUAUCAUUAUCAAAAGAACUUAUUUUGUCCACUUGCAGCAUAAAAGGUUUUGCAGUCGUACUAUGUGCACGUAGUGCUUACAGAAAGAAGAAUUAUCUAAAAGUUGCACUGAUGAUGUGGCCAAACUACAUGUAUUAGAAUCAUCUUUUAUUAUGUUAGUCAAAGAACCUCACUGCACCUGUACGGGCAACAUUUUGUUUCAGACCACAAAAAGAUUGGGAUUUGAACUGAACAAUGGUUCAUGCAGUCCACGUACCAAUUUGGGUUCUGACGGAUAAAUUGAAAUCUUUUUGCGACCGUAGGAAGGUGAUAGUGAAUUCACGAGGAAAUGAGAAGACAGUGUUUUAUUAUAAAUGGACUUUCACUAUUUUUCCACAAAUGGAGACAAACUAUUCAUGGAGAUCUUAAGGCUGUGAUGGAAAUAUUGGAUAAAUUUAAAAUGGAAUAUCGGAGAGUGAUGGCGGUGUCAAAAACUUGAUUAAAAAUGUCUUUAUUAGCUUUUUUGUAAAAUGCAAAUAUAUAUCAUGAGCAAUUCCUAAAUAAUAUUUGGUUAUUAUUUAUACCAUCUUACAGAUAUUACUCGACUUUGAGAGUACUGAAUAUGUCCGUUACCAAAUGCAUAUUGUCAAUUGUGACAGUUGUAAGUUUAUUUAAAGUGUACGCUAUUAUCUUUCAUUGUGUGGUUACUGUUUGUGUUUGUUGAACCUCAUUGCUUCAGAGUUGACAGGAAUUAUUUAUUUUAAAAUGGUACAGAUUAGUGUACACAGAAAAAUCCUGAUGCUACUUACCUGUAAGUUACAGUUGAACAAAACAAUAAAUAGCGGUGUCGGAACCUGA